RNAcentral lists this ribosomal RNA (253 nucleotides) under uncultured bacterium. RNAcentral describes it as "partial 16S ribosomal RNA". It matches the Rfam family "Bacterial small subunit ribosomal RNA", at positions 524 to 776 of the family's 1533-position model. The record is from RNAcentral.
UACGUAGGUGGCAAGCGUUGUCCGGAAUUAUUGGGCGUAAAGCGCGCGCAGGCGGUCCUUUAAGUCUGAUGUGAAAGCCCACGGCUCAACCGUGGAGGGUCAUUGGAAACUGGGGGACUUGAGUACAGAAGAGGAAAGCGGAAUUCCACGUGUAGCGGUGAAAUGCGUAGAGAUGUGGAGGAACACCAGUGGCGAAGGCGGCUUCUUGGGCCAUUUCUGACGCUGAGGCGCGAAAGCUAGGGGAGCGAACGGG